AACGAACGCUGGCGGCGCGCCUAAUACAUGCAAGUCGAGCGAGAAGACGUAGCAAUACGUUUGUAAAGCGGCGAACGGGUGAGGAAUACACGGGUAACCUACCCUCGAGUGGGGAAUAACUAGCCGAAGGGUUAGCUAAUACCGCGUACGCUCCUUGGACUUCGGUUCAGGGAGGAAAGCGAUACCGUGGGUAUCGCGCUCUUGGAUGGGCUCAUGUCCUAUCAGCUUGUUGGUGAGGAACGGCUCACCAAGGCUUCGACGGGUAGCUGGUCUGAGAGGACGAUCAGCCACACUGGCACUGCGACACGGGCCAGACUCCUACGGGAGGCAGCAGUAAGGAAUAUUGCGCAAUGGGCGAAAGCCUGACGCAGCGACGCCGCGUGGGGGAUGAAGGUCUUCGGAUUGUAAACCCCUUUCGGGAGGGAAGA
Molecule: ribosomal RNA, 428 nt
Filed under: uncultured bacterium
Lineage: Bacteria
Description: bacterial SSU rRNA
Rfam family: Bacterial small subunit ribosomal RNA
Source: RNAcentral